This 711-nucleotide long non-coding RNA is filed under the name Junco hyemalis (dark-eyed junco). Its description in RNAcentral is "lncRNA (ENSJHYG00000009825.1)". The record is from RNAcentral. Lineage: Eukaryota; Metazoa; Chordata; Aves; Passeriformes; Passerellidae.
CAUAGGGGACUGGGGGGUGUCACAGGGGAUUGGGAGGUCACAUGGCUCUGGGAGUCUGAGGGGGGCACAGGGGUCUGGGGGAUCCAAGGGGGUCCAAGGGGUCUGAAGGGUCAAAGUGGGGUUGGCAGGAGGAAGGGGGUGGGGGGGGUCCUGGAGGGGAUCCUGGGCAGGCAGGAGCAGGGUCCCUUUUUGGGGUGCCAACCUCGCUGUGCCCUUUCCUUUCCCCCCGACCUGUCUUGCCCUGGCAGUUUGGCACCGGGUGUUUGCCAACGCGCUCCCGGACGAUCUGCGCAGCCCCAUGAGGAUCGAGCGCGAGGAGCAGCGGAACCUGCACUUCUUCCCUCCGGAAUAUGGCCAGAAGGCAGACGGGACGGCCGUGGACAUCUUCUCCUUCGGGAUGUGCGCGCUGGAGGUGUGGGAAGGGGCUGGGAGCCUGUCGGGAGCUGUCACCGCCUGGGGAUAUCCCCUGUCCAGGGCUGUCCCCUGUCCCUGCCCUGUCCCAGGCUGUCCCCUGUCCAGGAGUGUCCCUGUCUGGGGCUGUCCCUUGUCCCUGCCCUGUCUGGGGCUGUCCCCUGUCAUUGUCCUGUGCCCUGGGAACCCCCCCCAGACUGGCCAUGUCCCUGUCUCCUGGAGCCCCCCCACAUGCCCCUGUCCCUGCCCCUGUUGGAUGGCCGUGUCCCUGUCCCUGUCCUGUCCCUGUUGCCCCCCAGC